ACGAACGCUGGCGGCGUGCUUCACACCUGCCAGUCGAACGGAAAGGCCCUGCUUUUGUGGGGUGCUCGAGUGGCGAACGGGUGAGUAACACGUGAGUAACCUGCCCUUGACUUUGGGAUAACUUCAGGAAACUGGGGCUAAUACCGGAUAGGAGCUCCUGCUGCCUGGUGGGGGUUGGAAAGUUUCGGCGGUUGGGGAUGGACUCGCGGCUUAUCAGCUUGUUGGUGGGGUAGUGGCUUACCAAGGCUUUGACGGGUAGCCGGCCUGAGAGGGUGACCGGCCACAUUGGGACUGAGAUACGGCCCAGACUCCUACGGGAGGCAGCAGUGGGGAAUAUUGCACAAUGGGCGGAAGCCUGAUGCAGCAACGCCGCGUGCGGGAUGACGGCCUUCGGGUUGUAAACCGCUUUCGCCUGUGACGAAGCGUGAGUGACGGUAAUGGGUAAAGAAGCACCGGCUAACUACGUG
Molecule: ribosomal RNA, 467 nt
Filed under: uncultured bacterium
Lineage: Bacteria
Description: partial 16S ribosomal RNA
Rfam family: Bacterial small subunit ribosomal RNA
Source: RNAcentral